AACGAACGCUGGCGGCAUGCCUAACACAUGCAAGUCGAACGAGACCUUCGGGUCUAGUGGCGCACGGGUGCGUAACACGUGGGAAUCUGCCCUUUGCUUCGGAAUAACAGUUAGAAAUGACUGCUAAUACCGGAUGAUGUCGAAAGACCAAAGAUUUAUCGGCAAAGGAUGAGCCCGCGUAGGAUUAGGUAGUUGGUGGGGUAAAGGCCUACCAAGCCGACGAUCCUUAGCUGGUCGGAGAGGAUGAUCAGCCACACUGGGACUGAGACACGGCCCAGAAUCCUACGGGAGGGAGCAGUGGGGAAUAUUGGACCAGGGGCGAAAGCCUGAUCCAGCAAUGCCGCGUGAGUGAUGAAGGCCUUAGGGUUGUAAAGCUCUUUUACCAGGGAUGAUAAUGACGGUACCUGGAGAAUAAGCUCCGGCUAACUCCGUG
This 433-nucleotide ribosomal RNA is filed under the name uncultured bacterium. RNAcentral describes it as "partial 16S ribosomal RNA". It matches the Rfam family "Bacterial small subunit ribosomal RNA", at positions 29 to 507 of the family's 1533-position model. The record is from RNAcentral.